Drosophila obscura is the source of this 974-nucleotide RNA transcript. RefSeq lists it as uncharacterized. Lineage: Eukaryota; Metazoa; Arthropoda; Insecta; Diptera; Drosophilidae. The record is from RefSeq and is a predicted model, not a curated record. The transcript has 5 exons.
ACAAUAAGCCGCGUUCCGCACAGCGAAAACACUUUGUCAGGUAAGUAAUGGUAUUUAAAUAUAAAACAAGAUUAUAAAUGGACUGCACGGCUUGGAGUGGACAGAAAAGAGGAGACGGACAACAACAAAGCAUCGGCCGGCAUAACAAACAAACUUAUGUUUGUACACAAUGCACAUAUGGGCAUUGUGUUGCAUGCCGGCCAACUCUGCCGUCCCCCCCCCUGGUCGUCAUAAAUGGAUGGAAUCACCCGCAAGUGUAAUGGAAGUGCCGUCGUCAGAGUGGAUUUUGCUGCUGCUGCUGCUGCUGCUGAUGAUGGAUUCUGGCUGCUGUAGAUGGCUGAUUCUGCUGGCUGCUGGUAAUGGCUGCCCCUACAGGGGGCACCAGUGGCGCUGGUCCGGCCACCGGCCAGUCUCGGCGUGGAUACACACUCGCACACAUUUGCAACCGCAGCGACUCAGGUCCGGCCGCCUAGAUGGUGCUCGAAUUGGCGUGUGUGUGUGUGUGUGUGUGUGUGUGUAUUUGGUGUGCCUUUGGACGGACCGUCCAAAAUUGUCUCACUUGACCAUGAUACAGCGGCUCUGGUCCGGCCGCCUACAGGUAAGUGUGUGUAUGUGUUGUUUAAUGUGUUUUCUUUACAGGUUUUCUGCUGGGGCUGCGUCGUCGAGAUAUGGCUGACCACGCCAUCAACCAAUACACUCUCCAUGGACCAGAGGAGUGUAUUGAAUUGGAGAGGAUGAUGGCGUGUGGAUUUGCAGUGGGCGUGGCAUGUUUGCGCGCCCAUUGUCCAGCACACGACAAGCAACAAGCGGCUGCUGGUCCGGCCGCCUGUAAAUAAAUUUGGAUGCUGAUUGCUGGUUGCUGAGUUUUUCUGCAGAGGAAAUGGACGUCCGUAUUUUCAUCCAGCGCACUCUCCUUGGACCAGUGGGAAGUGUCUCGGCUUGGAGAGGAUGUAGGCGUAGAGAUUGCGGAGGGC